UACAGAGGGUGCGAGCGUUAAUCGGAAUUACUGGGCGUAAAGCGCGCGUAGGCGGCUUUGCAAGUCGGGUGUGAAAUCCCCAGGCUUAACCUGGGAACUGCAUUCGAGACUGCAUUGCUAGAGUAUGGGAGAGGGAAGUGGAAUUUCCGGUGUAGCAGUGAAAUGCGUAGAUAUGCGGAGGAACACCGAUGGCGAAGGCAAUCCCCUGGGCCUGCACUGACGCUCAUGCACGAAAGCGUGGGGAGCAAACAGG
This 253-nucleotide ribosomal RNA is filed under the name uncultured bacterium. RNAcentral's name for it is "partial 16S ribosomal RNA". It matches the Rfam family "Bacterial small subunit ribosomal RNA", at positions 524 to 776 of the family's 1533-position model. The record is from RNAcentral.